This 1353-nucleotide ribosomal RNA is filed under the name Vibrio cholerae. RNAcentral describes it as "partial 23S ribosomal RNA". It matches the Rfam family "Bacterial large subunit ribosomal RNA", at positions 146 to 1555 of the family's 2925-position model. The record is from RNAcentral. Lineage: Bacteria; Pseudomonadati; Pseudomonadota; Gammaproteobacteria; Vibrionales; Vibrionaceae.
AGUUACUGUUAACUGAAUACAUAGGUUAACAGAGCAAACCGGGGGAACUGAAACAUCUAAGUACCCCGAGGAGAAGAAAUCAACCGAGAUUCCGGUAGUAGCGGCGAGCGAACCUGGAUUAGCCCUUAAGCACUCGGUGAAGUAGGUGAACAAGCUGGAAAGCUUGGCGAUACAGGGUGAUAGCCCCGUAACCGACGCUUCAUCGAGCGUGAAAUCGAGUAGGGCGGGACACGUGAUAUCCUGUCUGAAUAUGGGGGGACCAUCCUCCAAGGCUAAAUACUCCUGACUGACCGAUAGUGAACCAGUACCGUGAGGGAAAGGCGAAAAGAACCCCUGUGAGGGGAGUGAAAUAGAACCUGAAACCGUGUACGUACAAGCAGUAGGAGCACCUUCGUGGUGUGACUGCGUACCUUUUGUAUAAUGGGUCAGCGACUUAUAUUCAGUGGCAAGGUUAACCGUAUAGGGGAGCCGUAGCGAAAGCGAGUCUUAACUGGGCGCUCAGUCUCUGGAUAUAGACCCGAAACCGGGUGAUCUAGCCAUGGGCAGGUUGAAGGUUGAGUAACAUCAACUGGAGGACCGAACCGACUAAUGUUGAAAAAUUAGCGGAUGACUUGUGGCUAGGGGUGAAAGGCCAAUCAAACUCGGAGAUAGCUGGUUCUCCCCGAAAGCUAUUUAGGUAGCGCCUCGGACGAAUACUACUGGGGGUAGAGCACUGUUAAGGCUAGGGGGUCAUCCCGACUUACCAACCCUUUGCAAACUCCGAAUACCAGUAAGUACUAUCCGGGAGACACACGGCGGGUGCUAACGUCCGUCGUGGAGAGGGAAACAACCCAGACCGCCAGCUAAGGUCCCAAAGUAUUGCUAAGUGGGAAACGAUGUGGGAAGGCUCAGACAGCUAGGAUGUUGGCUUAGAAGCAGCCAUCAUUUAAAGAAAGCGUAAUAGCUCACUAGUCGAGUCGGCCUGCGCGGAAGAUGUAACGGGGCUAAGCAAUACACCGAAGCUGCGGCAAUGUCUUUUAGACAUUGGGUAGGGGAGCGUUCUGUAAGCCGUUGAAGGUGAAUCGUAAGGUUUGCUGGAGGUAUCAGAAGUGCGAAUGCUGACAUGAGUAACGACAAAGGGGGUGAAAAACCUCCUCGCCGGAAGACCAAGGGUUCCUGUCCAACGUUAAUCGGGGCAGGGUGAGUCGACCCCUAAGGUGAGGCCGAAAGGCGUAAUCGAUGGGAAACGGGUUAAUAUUCCCGUACUUCUGACUAUUGCGAUGGGGGGACGGAGAAGGCUAGGUGGGCCAGGCGACGGUUGUCCUGGUUCAAGUGCGUAGGCUUGAGAGUUAGGUAAAUCCGGCUCUCUCUAAG